RNAcentral lists this ribosomal RNA (497 nucleotides) under uncultured bacterium. RNAcentral's name for it is "partial 16S ribosomal RNA". It matches the Rfam family "Bacterial small subunit ribosomal RNA", at positions 28 to 507 of the family's 1533-position model. The record is from RNAcentral.
GAUGAACGCUGGCGGCGUGCCUAAUACAUGCAAGUCGAGCGAACGGACGAGAAGCUUGCUUCUCUGAUGUUAGCGGCGGACGGGUGAGUAACACGUGGAUAACCUACCUAUAAGACUGGGAUAACUUCGGGAAACCGGAGCUAAUACCGGAUAAUAUUUUGAACAGCAUGGUUCAAAAGUGAAAGACGGUCUUGCUGUCACUUAUAGAUGGAUCCGCGCUGCAUUAGCUAGUUGGUAAGGUAACGGCUUACCAAGGCAACGAUGCAUAGCCGACCUGAGAGGGUGAUCGGCUACACUGGAUCUGAGACACGGUCCCGACUCCUGCGGGAGGCAGCAGUAGGGACUCUUCCGCAAUGCGCGAGAGCCUGACGGAGCAACGCCGCGUGAGUCAUGAAGGUCUUCGGAUCGUAAGACUCUGUUAUUAGGGAAGAACAUAUGUGUAAGUACCUGUGCACAUCUUGACGGUACCUAAUCAGAUAGCCACGGCUAACUACGUG